Molecule: unclassified non-coding RNA, 1114 nt
Filed under: Homo sapiens (human)
Lineage: Eukaryota; Metazoa; Chordata; Mammalia; Primates; Hominidae
Description: abhydrolase domain containing 16A, phospholipase (multiple genes)
Source: RNAcentral
GGGGCCGGCAGGGGGACCUGCUGCUGGAAGAGCAGCGGCCCGAGCCGGGGCCAUGGCGAAGCUGCUGAGCUGCGUCCUAGGCCCCCGGCUCUACAAAAUCUACCGGGAGAGGGACUCUGAAAGGGCCCCGGCCAGCGUCCCUGAGACGCCAACGGCAGUCACUGCCCCCCAUUCCAGCUCCUGGGUUACUUGAGUUUGUCCAAAGUGGUGCCGUUUUCUCACUAUGCUGGGACAUUGCUGCUACUUCUGGCAGGUGUGGCCUGCCUCCGAGGCAUUGGCCGCUGGACCAACCCCCAGUACCGGCAGUUCAUCACCAUCUUGGAAGCAACACAUCGGAACCAGUCUUCAGAAAACAAGAGGCAGCUUGCCAACUACAACUUUGACUUCCGGAGCUGGCCAGUCGACUUCCACUGGGAAGAACCCAGCAGCCGGAAGGAGUCUCGAGGGGGCCCUUCCCGCCGGGGUGUGGCCCUGCUUCGCCCAGAGCCCCUGCACCGGGGGACAGCAGACACCCUCCUCAACCGGGUUAAGAAGCUGCCUUGUCAGAUCACCAGCUACCUGGUGGCGCACACCCUAGGGCGCCGGAUGCUGUAUCCAGGCUCUGUGUACCUGCUGCAGAAGGCCCUCAUGCCUGUGCUGCUGCAGGGCCAGGCCCGACUGGUGGAAGAGUGUAAUGGGCGCCGGGCAAAGCUGCUGGCCUGUGAUGGCAAUGAGAUUGACACCAUGUUUGUGGACCGGCGGGGGACAGCUGAGCCCCAGGGACAGAAGCUGGUGAUCUGCUGUGAGGGGAAUGCUGGGUUUUAUGAGGUGGGCUGCGUCUCCACGCCCCUGGAAGCUGGAUAUUCAGUCCUGGGCUGGAAUCAUCCAGGCUUUGCUGGAAGCACGGGGGUGCCAUUCCCGCAGAAUGAGGCUAAUGCCAUGGAUGUGGUGGUCCAGUUUGCCAUCCACCGCCUGGGCUUCCAGCCCCAGGACAUCAUCAUCUACGCCUGGUCCAUCGGCGGCUUCACUGCCACGUGGGCAGCCAUGUCCUACCCAGAUGUUAGUGCCAUGAUCCUGGAUGCCUCCUUUGAUGACCUGGUGCCCUUGGCCUUGAAGGUCAUGCCAGACAGCUGGA